Molecule: long non-coding RNA, 665 nt
Filed under: Cercocebus atys (sooty mangabey)
Lineage: Eukaryota; Metazoa; Chordata; Mammalia; Primates; Cercopithecidae
Description: lncRNA (ENSCATG00000045755.1)
Source: RNAcentral
UAUAUAUGUGCCAGAAAGAAAGUGAUAAUCAAAGGUUGUUUGGUAAAACUAAAAGAGACACUUGAUGAAAAUGUUCUCCCAAUUAUUUUCUUGAACCAAAUAAAGUCUUGCUUAAAAUUACUUCAGUUUUAGUCUGGGAAUAGUAAAUUGGCUUAUGCACAGUAUGGAAUAAUACUACAUUACUAUUGAGUAUUCUUGAAAAGAGAACAGGAAUGAUAUGAGAAUAACAUUCUUCCUCAAGUCACUGAAAAAAAAUAUGCUGAAAAUGCUAUCUUUGUGCUAGAUUGUAAGCUUCAGUUGGACACAUGCCUUGCUAACUAAAUUAUCUGAACUCAUUAAAUAUUAGUAAUAGGUGUGUUCAAAUUAACAAUUGUAUCUUGUCUAAUUUUUCCUUUCUUUCUAGUGGAGUUGCUGUUCAAAAGGGAAGAUGCUAGAAAGAUACCAGUUGAAGGAAUAAGAGAAAGGAACGAAAGGAACUAAAUCCUUGGAUCAUGUUGGCUGAAGCAAAUAAUUGUAACAGCACUCAAGAAAUGAAUGAAUACCACAGGGAAGAGCUUCAACCACCACUGCCCCUGACAACCUUAAUAGUAGACAUCAGCUGUCACCUGACAACAUUGUUCUGCAAAGCUUUAUUUUAAACUUCUCACCUUCCAGGACUAGGGGUA